Molecule: long non-coding RNA, 908 nt
Filed under: Danio rerio (zebrafish)
Lineage: Eukaryota; Metazoa; Chordata; Actinopteri; Cypriniformes; Danionidae
Description: si:ch211-197c20.3 (ENSDARG00000097179.2)
Source: RNAcentral
AAUAUAUAAAGUGUUGUAUGAAACAGAUCUGUGUUGAGAGAAGCUCUGGUCCGUGUUUCUUCCUAAAAACCGAGGUUUGAGAGCCAGCGCUUUACAACUGAAGAUGAAUAUAAGGAUGAGAAGGCGAAAGGACAAUGCAGAGCUGGUGGGCAAUGUGGAGGCGCAUUAGGUAGUGCUGUCACCUCACAGCAAGAUGGUCACUGUUUCGAGCCUCGGCUGGGUCAGUUGGCAUUUCUGUGUGGAGUUUGCAUGUUCUCCCCGCGUUCGCGUGGGUUUCCUCUGGGUAAGUUGGCAGUUCAUUCUGCGGUGGCAAUCCCAGAUUAAUAAAAGGACUAAGCCAAAAAGAAAAUGAAUGAAUGAAUGAACAUUCAGUAGGCUACAUAACUUUAAAACAGGCACACAAAAGUACAGUACGACACUUGACAGAGUAUCAUCUAUUGAAAAAAAGGUUUUACUAUAUGUUCAAAACAUGAUUCUUAUUUGUUAAUACAUUUGUAAAAGAAUAAUAAUUAUUAGUUAUUGGCAUAAUUAUUGGUAUUCAAUACAUAAGUAAUUCUACAUUUAUCUUGAAGUUUUAUUGUAACAUUCUAAUGUAACAAAAUAAAAUGUAAAAAAAACACUAAAUUGAAUUCAAAAUUAAUUUAAUAUUGUGGUUAUUUUGCAAAGAAAUGUAAAAAAAAAAAAUUAUGCUUUUAUUUCCUAUAUUAAGAAUACAGAUAGUGUCAUAAUCACGUUUAUUUGGAUAAAUGUGUUAACUUGCAGUCUAUAUGUGGAGUAUUAAUACAUUAAAACAAGUUACAUGAACAGAACUGCAGAAAGAAAAUGGCUUAUAAGCAAUACUGAAUCACUGUAGUCAUGGCUUUAUGAUAAAUGUAUCACAUAUGACAUCAAAAAAUAUAUACCAAAAU